GACGAACGCUGGCGGCGUGCUUAACACAUGCAAGUCGAACGGAAAGGCCCUGCUUUUGUGGGUUGCUCGAGUGGCGAACGGGUGAGUAACACGUGAGUAACCUGCCCUUGUCUUUGGGAUAACUUCAGGAAACUGGGGCUAAUACCGGAUAGGAGCUCCUGCUGCAUGGUGGGGGUUGGAAAGUUUCGGCGGUUGGGGAUGGACUCGCGGGUUAUCAGCUUGUUGGUGGGGUAGUGGCUUACAAAGGCUUUGACGGGUAGCCGGCCUGAGAGGGUGACCGGCCACAUUGGGACUGAGAUACGGCCCAGACUCCUACGGGACGCAGUAGGGGGGAAUAUUGCACAAUGGGCGGAAGCCUGAUGCAGCAGCGCCGCGUGCGGGAAGACGUCCUUCGGGGUGUAAACCGCUUUCGCCUGUGACGAAGCGUGAGUGACGGUAAUGGGUAAAGAAGCACCGGCUAACUACGUG
This 468-nucleotide ribosomal RNA is filed under the name uncultured bacterium. Its description in RNAcentral is "partial 16S ribosomal RNA". It matches the Rfam family "Bacterial small subunit ribosomal RNA", at positions 28 to 507 of the family's 1533-position model. The record is from RNAcentral.